GUGAGACCAUGCGGCCUCUCCAUGUGGGCCUCUCUACAGGCUGCUUUGGCUUCCUUACAGAAUGGCAGCUGGGUUUCAAAGUUCACAGGUCUCUAGAGCAAGAGGAUCAAAUUGAAGGAGCUUCAUCUAUACUUG
Long non-coding RNA from Lemur catta (Ring-tailed lemur), 135 nucleotides. RefSeq lists it as uncharacterized. The record is from RefSeq and is a predicted model, not a curated record. NCBI's taxonomy places the organism in Eukaryota, Metazoa, Chordata, Mammalia, Primates, Lemuridae. The transcript has 3 exons.